Molecule: ribosomal RNA, 258 nt
Filed under: uncultured bacterium
Lineage: Bacteria
Description: partial 16S ribosomal RNA
Rfam family: Bacterial small subunit ribosomal RNA
Source: RNAcentral
UACGUAGGGGGCAAGCGUUGUCCGGAAUUAUUGGGCGUAAAGAGCGCGUAGGCGGUUUGUUGCGUCGGCUGUGAAAUCCCGAGGCUCAACCUCGGGUCUGCAGUCGAUACGAGCAAACUAGAGUGUUGCAGGGGGAGACUGGAAUUCCUGGUGUAGCGGUGAAAAUGCGCAGAUAUCAGGAGGAACACCGGUGGCGAAGGCGGGGUCUCUGGGGCAACAACUGACGCUGAGGAGCGAAAGCGUGGGGGAGCGAACAGG